UAACUGGAGAGUUUGAUCCUGGCUCAGAGCGAACGUUAGCGGCGGGCCUAACACAUGCAAGUCGAACGCGAAAGGUCUUCGGACUGAUUGAGUGGCGCACGGGUGAGUAACACGUAGGUAAUCUACCCUUUGGCGGGGAUAACGUUCCGAAAGGGACGCUAAUACCGCAUAAGACCACACGGGCUCCGGCUCGAGUGGGAAAAGGUGGCCUCUUCUUGAAAGCUACCACCGGAGGAUGAGCCUGCGUCCCAUCAGCUAGUUGGUAAGGUAAUGGCUUACCAAGGCGAAGACGGGUAGCUGGUUUGAGAGAAUGAUCAGCCACACUGGCACUGGAACACGGGCCAGACUCCUACGGGAGGCAGCAGUGAGGAAUAUUGGGCAAUGGGCGAAAGCCUGACCCAGCCACGCCGCGUGAGUGAUGAAGGCCUUCGGGUCGUAAAGCUCUGUGGAGAGGGGAAAACCCUGGUUUCCACUAGGCUCCAAGCUUGACGGUACCUCUUUAGCAAGCACCGAGUAACUCUGUGCCAGCAGCCGCGGUAAUACAGAGGGGGCAAGCGUUGCUCGGAUUUACUGGGCGUAAAGCGCGCGUAGGCGGGUUCGCAAGUCGGACGUGAAAUCCUGGCUCAACCCAGGAACUGCGUUCGAAACUGCGCGGUGUAGAGGUGAAAUUCGUAGAUAUCGGGAGGAAUACCAGUGGCGAAGGCGGCUUUCUGGACACUUACUGACGCUGAGACGCGAAAGCGUGGGGAGCAAACAGGAUUAGAUACCCUGGUAGUCCACGCUGUAAACGAUGUGUGCUAGGUGUCGCGGGAUUUGACUUCUGCGGUGCCGUAGCUAACGCGUUAAGCACACCGCCUGGGGAGUACGGCCGCAAGGCUAAAACUCAAAGAAUCUGACGGGGCCCGCACAAGCGGUGGAGCAUGUGGUUUGAAUUCUGACGCAACGCGCAGAACCUUACCCAGGCUAGAAAAGGUAGAGAAGUCUGUAGAAAUACGGAUGUGCCUUUCAGGGGAAUCUAAUCCAGGUGCUGCAUGGCUGUCGUCAGCUCGUGUCGUGAGAUGUUGGGUUAAGUCCCGCAACGAGCGCAACCCUUGUCAUUAGUUGCUAACGGUUCGGCCGAGCACUCUAAUGAGACUGCCGGGGUUAACCCGGAGGAAGGUGGGGAUGACGUCAAGUCCUCAUGGCCCUUAUGUCUGGGGCUACACACGUGCUACAAUGGUCGGUACAAAGCGCAGCGAGCCCGCGAGGGGGAGCGAAUCGCAAAAAGCCGGCCUCAGUACGGAUUGCAGUCUGCAACUCGACUGCAUGAAGGCGGAAUCGCUAGUAAUCGCUGAUCAGCAGGCAGCGGUGAAUACGUUCCCGGGCCUUGUACACACCGCCCGUCACACCAUGGGAGUCGAGUGCUCCAGAAGUGGCUACGCCAACCCGCCAGGGAGGCAGGUCCCCAAGGAGUGUUUGGUAACUGGGGUGAAGUCGUAACAAGGUAGCCGUAGGGGAACCUGCGGCUGGAUCACCUCCUUU
This 1521-nucleotide ribosomal RNA is filed under the name Sandaracinaceae bacterium. RNAcentral's name for it is "bacterial SSU rRNA". It matches the Rfam family "Bacterial small subunit ribosomal RNA". Lineage: Bacteria; Pseudomonadati; Myxococcota; Polyangiales; Sandaracinaceae. The record is from RNAcentral.